RNAcentral lists this ribosomal RNA (506 nucleotides) under uncultured bacterium. RNAcentral's name for it is "partial 16S ribosomal RNA". It matches the Rfam family "Bacterial small subunit ribosomal RNA", at positions 30 to 523 of the family's 1533-position model. The record is from RNAcentral.
AUUGAACGCUGGCGGCAGGCCUAACACAUGCAAGUCGAGCGGUAGCACAGGAGAGCUUGCUCUCUGGGUGACGAGCGGCGGACGGGUGAGUAAUGUCUGGGAAACUGCCUGAUGGAGGGGGAUAACUACUGGAAACGGUAGCUGAUACCGCAUAAUGUCGCAAGACCAAAGAGGGGGGCCUUCGGGCCUCUUGCCAUCAGAUGUGCCCAGAUGGGAUUAGCUAGUAGGUGGGGUAACGGCUCACCUAGGCGACGAUCCCUAGCUGGUCUGAGAGGAUGACCAGCCACACUGGAACUGAGACACGGUCCAGACUCCUACGGGAGGCAGCAGUGGGGAAUAUUGCACAAUGGGCGCAAGCCUGAUGCAGCCAUGCCGCGUGUAUGAAGAAGGCCUUCGGGUUGUAAAGUACUUUCAGCGAGGAGGAAGGCAUUGUGGUUAAUAACCACAGUGAUUGACGUUACUCGCAGAAGAAGCACCGGCUAACUCCGUGCCAGCCGCCGCGGUAA